RNAcentral lists this long non-coding RNA (273 nucleotides) under Physcomitrium patens. Its description in RNAcentral is "long non-coding RNA (PPAT_LNC005295)". Lineage: Eukaryota; Viridiplantae; Streptophyta; Bryopsida; Funariales; Funariaceae. The record is from RNAcentral.
AGAAGACAACGAGAGGGAAGAAGAAAAUAACUGCGGAUUGGUAGACAGAUAACACAAGCCAAUAGAAGAAAGAUCUCCUAUUGAAAAGCUCACCACGCUGGCCGGAUCGGUAUAGCUGAGGGUAACGGAAAGCAUCAGCAGGAGUCACGUCCUGGUCAAUGAUGCCAAUUAUGACUACAGGGAGCACAGUGAAGACCGUGUUGUAGAAGGAAGCAUACCAAUCAUUGUAGAGGGGGUUUCCUGAGAAGUAUGCAAAGAUAUUGGAGUACAAAG